RNAcentral lists this ribosomal RNA (253 nucleotides) under uncultured bacterium. RNAcentral describes it as "partial 16S ribosomal RNA". It matches the Rfam family "Bacterial small subunit ribosomal RNA", at positions 524 to 776 of the family's 1533-position model. The record is from RNAcentral.
UACAGAGGGUGCAAGCGUUGUUCGGAAUUACUGGGCGUAAAGCGCGCGCAGGCGGGUUUGUAAGUCGGAAGUGAAAUCCUUCGGCUCAACCGAAGAACGUCGGCCGAUACUGCCGUUCUUGAGGGAUGCAGAGGAGAUUGGAAUUCCCGGUGUAGCGGUGAAAUGUGUAGAGAUCGGGAGGAACACCGGUGGCGAAGGCGGGUCUCUGGGCAUCUCCUGACGCUGAGGCGCGAAAGCGUGGGGAGCAAACGGG